Molecule: transfer RNA, 88 nt
Filed under: Burkholderiaceae bacterium
Lineage: Bacteria; Pseudomonadati; Pseudomonadota; Betaproteobacteria; Burkholderiales; Burkholderiaceae
Description: tRNA-Ser
Rfam family: tRNA
About the family: Transfer RNA (tRNA) molecules are approximately 80 nucleotides in length. Their secondary structure includes four short double-helical elements and three loops (D, anti-codon, and T loops).
Source: RNAcentral
GGAAGGUUGGGCGAGUGGCCAAAGCCGGCUGCCCUGAAAGCAGCAGUCCUUCGGGGCGCGCGAGUUCGAAUCUACGCACCUUCCGCCA